UGACCUGCGGAAGGAUCAUUACCGAGUGAGGGCCCUCUGGGUCCAACCUCCCACCCGUGUUUAUUUUACCUUGUUGCUUCGGCGGGCCCGCCUUAACUGGCCGCCGGGGGGCUUACGCCCCCGGGCCCGCGCCCGCCGAAGACACCCUCGAACUCUGUCUGAAGAUUGUAGUCUGAGUGAAAAUAUAAAUUAUUUAAAACUUUCAACAACGGAUCUCUUGGUUCCGGCAUCGAUGAAGAACGCAGCGAAAUGCGAUACGUAAUGUGAAUUGCAAAUUCAGUGAAUCAUCGAGUCUUUGAACGCACAUUGCGCCCCCUGGUAUUCCGGGGGGCAUGCCUGUCCGAGCGUCAUUGCUGCCCUCAAGCACGGCUUGUGUGUUGGGCCCCGUCCUCCGAUCCCGGGGGACGGGCCCGAAAGGCAGCGGCGGCACCGCGUCCGGUCCUCGAGCGUAUGGGGCUUUGUCACCCGCUCUGUAGGCCCGGCCGGCGCUUGCCGAUCAACCCAAAUUUUUAUCCAGGUUGACCUCGGAUCAGGUAGGGAUACCCGCUGAACUUAAGCAUAUCAAUAA
Molecule: ribosomal RNA, 568 nt
Filed under: Penicillium sp. AQG13
Lineage: Eukaryota; Fungi; Ascomycota; Eurotiomycetes; Eurotiales; Aspergillaceae
Description: eukaryotic LSU rRNA
Rfam family: 5.8S ribosomal RNA (bases 198-350)
Source: RNAcentral